GACGAACGCUGGCGGCGUGCUUAACACAUGCAAGUCGAACGGAAAGGCCCCUUUGGGGGUACUCGAGUGGCGAACGGGUGAGUAACACGUGAGUAACCUGCCCUUGACUUCGGGAUAACUUCAGGAAACUGGGGCUAAUACCGGAUAGGAAUCCUUGCUGCAUGGUGGGGGUUGGAAAGCUUCGGCGGUUUUGGAUGGACUCACGGCUUAUCGGCUUGUUGGUGGGGUAGUGGCUUACCAAGGCUUUGACGGGUAGCCGGCCUGAGAGGGCGACCGGCCACAUUGGGACUGAGAUACGGCCCAGACUCCUACGGGAGGCAGCAGUGGGGAAUAUUGCACAAUGGGCGGAAGCCUGAUGCAGCAACGCCGCGUGCGGGAUGACGGCCUUCGGGUUGUAAACCGCUUUCAGCAGGGGCGAAGCUUGUGGUGACGGUACCUGCAGAAGAAGCACCGGCUAACUACGUG
Molecule: ribosomal RNA, 465 nt
Filed under: uncultured bacterium
Lineage: Bacteria
Description: partial 16S ribosomal RNA
Rfam family: Bacterial small subunit ribosomal RNA
Source: RNAcentral